GAUGAACGCUAGCGGCAGGCCUAACACAUGCAAGUCGAGGGGUAUCCCGCUUUCGGGCGGGAGAGACCGGCGCACGGGUGCGUAACGCGUAUGCAACCUACCCUGUACUGGGGGAUAGCCCGGAGAAAUUCGGAUUAACACCCCAUAGUACUAAUGAAUGGCAUCAUUUAUUAGUUAAAGGUUACGGUACAGGAUGGGCAUGCGUCCUAUUAGCUAGAUGGUAAGGUAACGGCUUACCAUGGCUACGAUAGGGAGGGGGCCUGAGAGGGUGGUCCCCCACACUGGUACUGAGACACGGACCAGACUCCUACGGGAGGCAGCAGUGGGGAAUAUUGGACAAUGGGCGGAAGCCUGAUCCAGCCAUGCCGCGUGUGUGAAGAAGGCCUUUUGGUUGUAAAGCACUUUAAGCGAGGAGGAGGCUACUUAGAUUAAUACUCUGGGAUAGUGGACGUUACUCGCAGAAUAAGCACCGGCUAACUCUGUGCCAGCAGCCGCAGUAA
Molecule: ribosomal RNA, 500 nt
Filed under: uncultured bacterium
Lineage: Bacteria
Description: partial 16S ribosomal RNA
Rfam family: Bacterial small subunit ribosomal RNA
Source: RNAcentral